GACGAACGCUGGCGGCGUGCUUGACACAUGCAAGUCGAGCGGUAAGGCCCUUUCGGGGGUACACGAGCGGCGAACGGGUGAGUAACACGUGGGUGACCUGCCCUUAGCUCUGGGAUAAGCCUGGGAAACUGGGUCUAAUACCGGAUAUGACUCCAUGACGCAUGUUGUGGGGUGGAAAGCCUUGUGCGGCUAGGGAUGGGCCCGCGGCCUAUCAGCUUGUUGGUGGGGUGAUGGCCUACCAAGGCGACGACGGGUAGCCGGCCUGAGAGGGCGACCGGCCACACUGGGACUGAGACACGGCCCAGACUCCUACGGGAGGCAGCAGUGGGGAAUCUUGCGCAAUGGGCGAAAGCCUGACGCAGCGACGCCGCGUGGGGAUGACGGCCUCGG
This 390-nucleotide ribosomal RNA is filed under the name uncultured bacterium. RNAcentral describes it as "bacterial SSU rRNA". It matches the Rfam family "Bacterial small subunit ribosomal RNA", at positions 28 to 420 of the family's 1533-position model. The record is from RNAcentral.